This 305-nucleotide ribosomal RNA is filed under the name uncultured bacterium. Its description in RNAcentral is "bacterial SSU rRNA". It matches the Rfam family "Bacterial small subunit ribosomal RNA", at positions 335 to 633 of the family's 1533-position model. The record is from RNAcentral.
UGCCUACGGGGGGCAGCAGUAGGGAAUUUUCGUCAAUGGGCGCAAGCCUGAACGAGCAAUGCCGCGUGAACGAGGAAGGUCUUCGGAUCGUAAAGUUCUGUUGAAGGGGAAAAAGAGCGGAGAGAGGAAAUGGUCUCCGAUUGAUAUUACCCUUCGAGGAAGUCACGGCUAACUACGUGCCAGCAGCCGCGGUAAUACGUAGGUGGCAAGCGUUGUCCGGAUUUACUGGGUGUAAAGGGCGUGUAGCCGGGCUGACAAGUCAGAUGUGAAAUCCGGGGGCUCAACCCCCGAACUGCAUUUGAAAC